This 248-nucleotide long non-coding RNA is filed under the name Gallus gallus (chicken). The record is from RNAcentral. Lineage: Eukaryota; Metazoa; Chordata; Aves; Galliformes; Phasianidae.
AUGUUGUCAAUCAUGGCCUUCAGGUCUUCAAUCAUUUUGAGGCUCACACCAUCUUUCUUGGAGGCCGCCGGCUUCUGCCUGCCCUUGCCAUUCUGCUGGACGGAGAUGUGGGCGAGGGAGACGAGGCAGAGCAGCAGGCAGGCUCCCCGCAGCGCCAUGCCGAGCACUGAGCUGAGCGGGACUGACUGUGCUCGGCCCGGCACGCCGGCUUUAAUGAGCAGUGUCUGGCCAAGGAGCUGGCCCCGGGC